This 246-nucleotide ribosomal RNA is filed under the name Novosphingobium sp. RNAcentral's name for it is "partial 16S ribosomal RNA". It matches the Rfam family "Bacterial small subunit ribosomal RNA", at positions 551 to 797 of the family's 1533-position model. Lineage: Bacteria; Pseudomonadati; Pseudomonadota; Alphaproteobacteria; Sphingomonadales; Sphingomonadaceae. The record is from RNAcentral.
UUACUGGGCGUAAGCGCACGUAGGCGGUUACUCAAGUCAGAGGUGAAAGCCCGGGGCUCAACCCCGGAACUGCCUUUGAAACUAGGUGACUGGAAUCUUGGAGAGGCGAGUGGAAUYCCGAGUGUAGAGGUGAAAUUCGUAGAUAUUCGGAAGAACACCAGUGGCGAAGGCGACUCGCUGGACAAGUAUUGACGCUGAGGUGCGAAAGCGUGGGGAGCAAACAGGAUUAGAWACCCCCGUAGUCCA